AGUCGAGGGGCAGCAUUUUAGUUUGCUUGCAAACUGAAGAUGGCGACCGGCGCACGGGUGAGUAACACGUAUCCAACCUGCCGAUAACUCCGGAAUAGCCUUUCGAAAGAAAGAUUAAUACCGGAUAGUAUACGAAUAUCGCAUGAUAUUUUUAUUAAAGAAUUUCGGUUAUCGAUGGGGAUGCGUUCCAUUAGUUUGUUGGCGGGGUAACGGCCCACCAAGACUACGAUGGAUAGGGGUUCUGAGAGGAAGGUCCCCCACAUUGGAACUGAGACACGGUCCAAACUCCUACGGGAGGCAGCAGUGAGGAAUAUUGGUCAAUGGGCGCGAGCCUGAACCAGCCAAGUAGCGUGAAGGAUGAAGGCUCUAUGGGUCGUAAACUUCUUUUAUAUGGGAAUAAAGUUUUCCACGUGUGGAAUUUUGUAUGUACCAUAUGAAUAAGGAUCGGCUAACUCCGUGCCAGCAGCCGCGGUAAUACGGAGGAUCCGAGCGUUAUCCGGAUUUAUUGGGUUUAAAGGGAGCGUAGGUGGAUUGUUAAGUCAGUUGUGAAAGUUUGCGGCUCAACCGUAAAAUUGCAGUUGAAACUGGCAGUCUUGAGUACAGUAGAGGUGGGCGGAAUUCGUGGUGUAGCGGUGAAAUGCUUAGAUAUCACGAAGAACUCCGAUUGCGAAGGCAGCUCACUAGACUGUUACUGACACUGAUGCUCGAAAGUGUGGGUAUCAAACAGGAUUAGAUACCCUGGUAGUCCACACAGUAAACGAUGAAUACUCGCUGUUUGCGAUAUACAGUAAGCGGCCAAGCGAAAGCAUUAAGUAUUCCACCUGGGGAGUACGCCGGCAACGGUGAAACUCAAAGGAAUUGACGGGGGCCCGCACAAGCGGAGGAACAUGUGGUUUAAUUCGAUGAUACGCGAGGAACCUUACCCGGGCUUAA
This 933-nucleotide ribosomal RNA is filed under the name uncultured bacterium. RNAcentral's name for it is "bacterial SSU rRNA". It matches the Rfam family "Bacterial small subunit ribosomal RNA", at positions 60 to 984 of the family's 1533-position model. The record is from RNAcentral.